This 417-nucleotide ribosomal RNA is filed under the name Triticum aestivum (bread wheat). RNAcentral's name for it is "partial small subunit ribosomal RNA". The record is from RNAcentral. Lineage: Eukaryota; Viridiplantae; Streptophyta; Magnoliopsida; Poales; Poaceae.
GUCAUAAUUAUUCUUGAGUCUCUUCCUGAAGAGUUUGAACAAUUUAAGGUCAACUAUAACUCUCUAAAGGAAAAAUGGCCACUCUCUGAGAUGACCGCAAGGAUCGUCCAGGAGGAAGAAAGGAUCAUGAGGCAGAAGAAAGACCAUGUCUUUCAUGUUGGCUCUAACAAGAGAAAGCAUGACGGACAAGGUUUCCCUAAGCCUCAGAAAAGGCAAGUCAAGAAAGAAGGCACUAAGCCAUUCAACCCUAAGGCAUUCAAGGGUAAAGAAGCUGGUGGUUCUUCUUCUGCUCCUAGCAGCUCCACUGCUGGAGAAAAUGCUUGUAACUUCUGCAAAGAAGAGGGACACUAUCAAAGGGACUGCCCAGGCUUUCUAAAAUGGAUGAACAAAAGAGGGAUUCGAUACGAUCCAAACCAU